RNAcentral lists this ribosomal RNA (219 nucleotides) under uncultured bacterium. Its description in RNAcentral is "partial 16S ribosomal RNA". It matches the Rfam family "Bacterial small subunit ribosomal RNA", at positions 116 to 334 of the family's 1533-position model. The record is from RNAcentral.
CGUAAAGAGCUUGCCUCACAGCUAGGGACAACAUUUAGAAAUGAAUGCUAAUACCUGAUAUUAUGAUUUUAAGGCAUCUUAGAAUUAUGAAAGCUAUAAGCACUGUGAGAGAGCUUUGCGUCCCAUUAGCUAGUUGGAGAGGUAACAGCUCACCAAGGCGAUGAUGGGUAGCCGGCCUGAGAGGGUGAACGGCCACAAGGGGACUGAGACACGGCCCUU